This 1299-nucleotide long non-coding RNA is filed under the name Anas platyrhynchos platyrhynchos (common mallard). RNAcentral describes it as "lncRNA (ENSAPLG00000021969.1)". Lineage: Eukaryota; Metazoa; Chordata; Aves; Anseriformes; Anatidae. The record is from RNAcentral.
AUCCAAUACGAAAAUAAAUCGAACGGUAAUUUUAACCAUUAUUAAAGUUUGCAGCACUUAAUUUAGUUACGUGCUGGCUUUCCAUUUCUGAUUACACCAUAAGGAAGUUAUUUUACUGAGAAAUGUUAAGAUAAAGUAUAGGCAUUCCCACACAUUCUUGAUAUUUUUUUUCCUGGCGUAUAUUUAUUAGAGUCCACUCAAUCUACUUCAAUUGCUAGGUGAUGCAGAAUCACUGGAGCCUUUUUUUUUUUUUUUUUUUCUCCAGCAACAUGUUUGCAGGGUAGAAGCAGACUGUGAAGAUGCUUAUCUGCACACACCAUGUCCAGCACAAGUGGAUAUAAAUGUAAAUGUUUCUCCCAUCUCGGAUCAAGUUCGCAGAAGCAAACCCAGCACGUUUAGCGUCUGCAAACGGAGCUAACUUUGGUGAUAGCACCAAAACCCAUUGCUAACAGAUUUGGGGGCACUGUGUGAGCUGUGACUUCUGCCUGAGAGUGUGCCCACCCCACCAGGUACAUGGUACACGUGGUGGCAGAGCCGCUGAGCCUCCCGUGCCAGUGGGACAGCUGCCAGCCCUGCAGGCUGGUUUGCAGGGCGGGUGCCUGAGCAGCUCAAGUGCUUAGGAGUGGCAGUGUUAGGACUGUUUGUCUUGCUAUUGCAUCCUCCUGGGGGGUGAAAAUGCCUCGGCUGCUCCCGGUCCGAACUGCAGGUCUGGAUGGUGCUGGAUGUGGCUGGGGUGGUCUCACCCCAGGGGGAACGCUGCCUGUGGUGGCCAGCUGGCAAUGUAAGGGGAGGUUUGGGCCGGCACCCCCACACCCUGUUUAUUGCCUUUCGCUUUGAGAAGCAGGUUUAUGAGCAAUGGGACUGCUUUUCGAAGUGCACCCUGUGCAGAGAUGCACGGCUUAACCCCUCAGACUGAUGCCUGUGCUGUUUCCUCGCUGCAGAGGCCAAGCAGCUGUGUUUCAGCUUGGGGGUUCUGACCAGCCCAGGUGGAGAUCCUCAGCUGAAGACCCUGAAGCCAUAAAGGGGCUUGCUCCUCAGCGGCUGCUCUGCUUUAACCCCAGUAGUGCCUUUUGGGCUGCUGGCUCCUCAGGCUGCCUGGGUGAGGCUGCCUGCGGCCCCCUGAGCUCACCCAGGACUUUUCCUGAUCCAUGUCCCUGGUGUGCAGAGAGCGAGCUGCAGCGCACACCCGUGCCUGUUUCCUGUUCAGCGAGGAGUAGGAAGAAGCCACCGAGGCUAACAGACACCCACGGCACCUAUAUCAUCACUGGGCUGCGAUGCAUUCAGCGUACUGAACAGUAA